UGCGUUCCUCUGCCUCUCAAUCCGCCAUUUUACAGAACGCGGCAGUAACUGUUUUCGUUUUACAGUUCCGUGUAAAAUAAUAAAAAAACAACACUUUUAUUUACAUUUGUUUUAAUUAGUAGAUUAUCGUAAACAUGGAAGCCGAAGGGCAGUCCGAUUUCAGCAUGGAAGAAUUUCCAGAAGGAUCCAAAAUUAACGCCAGCAAAAAUCAGGAGGACGAUGGGAAAAUGUUUAUUGGAGGGCUCAGCUGGGACACAAGCAAGAAAGAUCUUACAGAUUACCUGUCAAGGUUUGGAGAGGUGUUGGAUUGUACAAUUAAGACAGACCCCAUUACAGGAAGAUCUAGAGGUUUUGGCUUCGCCCUCUUCAAAGAUGCCGACAGUGUGGACAGGGUGCUGGAGCUGAAAGAACACAAACUGGAUGGAAAGCUUAUUGAUCCUAAAAGAGCCAAAGCAAUGAAGGGUAAAGAGCCACCCAAAAAAGUGUUUGUUGGAGGCUUGAGCCCGGAUACAUCGGAAGAUCAAAUCAGAGAAUAUUUUGGAAAAUUUGGAGAUAUUGAAAGCAUUGAACUUCCCAUGGACACCAAAACUAACGAGAGGAGGGGGUUCUGCUUCGUCACAUAUGCUGAAGAAGAACCAGUACAAAAACUGCUGGAGAGUAGAUACCAUCUUGUUGGAUCUGGCAAGUGCGAGAUAAAGGUGGCCCAGCCCAAAGAAGUAUACAGACAGCAGCAGCAACAAAGGGGCGGAAGAGGGGGCUCCAGAGGACGUGGUAGAGGAGGUCAAAAUCAAAACUACAACCAUGGUUAUAACAAUUACUAUGGUCAAGGUUAUGGAAGUUACGGCAAUGGAUACAAUCAAGGGUACAAUGGCUACAGUGGCUAUGAUUACUCUGGGUAUAACUAUGGGUAUGGACAGGAAUACGACGACUACAAUGUAGGUCAACAAAGCAGCUAUGGCAAAGCUUUGAGGGGAGGAGCCAAUCACCAGAACAACUAUCAGCCUUACUAAACUGAAACUGCACAGUUCUUGGAAUUUCGCGGGAACUUCAUUGCAGGCCGUGUGUCACCUUGACCACGUCAUUCUCUGGGAGUCGCACAUAGCGGGCAGAGAGCAAGGCAUGCACAAGAAAACGCUGUCCUGUGGUGGGAGAUCCGGAUGAGCAUUCUGCUAGUUAUCCUGGUAGCAACAGAGAGGUUCUAGUCCUUUUUUUUAAAUCCAAAAUCUUUUUUUUUUUUCAUUUUGAGAUGACAUUUAUUUUGUAAUCCUAAAACAUCAGUGUGAAGUUGGCACACUGAGUGUCCAUUUUGUAAAUAGCUACUGAACAGUUCUUAUUUUUAUUGGAGUGUUCACAUCUGUCCUUUGCCACAUGGCUGUUGUAUUGCUGCAAUCAAUCUGUUCAGCUCAUUUUGUUUUUGUAUUCUGUUCAGCACCUUUUUUUUUUAAUGUAAUUCCCUUUCUCUUUUUUUUUUUUUUUUUUUUUUUUUUUUGUUUCCCCAAAACCAUGAAGGGAUUAAAAUAUGGAUACAGAAACUGCUCUACCUGGAUUUAUUUCAGUCUAGUUAAUUGUAAAGUCAAGCACAAUCAGUAGAAAUUUCAAAUAAGAUCCUGCAAUACCAGUUAUGGACACUUAAAUAUACUUCAGUAUUUACAAUCCACAAUUAUAAAGACAAAUGUCAACCAUUUGCAGUUUUAGCAUUUUCAUAAAGGAGAGCAACAAUUCUUGACUGAUGGUAUCGUCCAUCCGUCCCCUGUGCAUUUCUCAUUUGUUACUAAUACAAAACCUUAAUUGAAAAAAGACUGCUGCAGGUCAAGUUCAGGUAGAGAAACUAUUAAACCUAGUCAAAUGUUGUUGCUAAAGUAAAAGUGUUCCUCUUUUAUAAUGCUAUAACUGGUUAUGCAGUAUAAAGUGGCAAAGCACUGUUUUAAGUAGACAAAUGUUUUGGUUAGUGUCUGUAAUCUUUAUUCUGUCAAACUGGAUUUAAUUACAGAUCAUGUCAAGCUGUGCAAACGUCCCAAUAUAAACAGAACAUGUAGCUGGUCUCUGAUCAAUCACAUUUUCUUCCAUUCAUGUGUAAAGGCCUGUAUACAUAACACAAUGCAUUACUGUGUAUCCUCAAUGUACACGGCAGGUGAUAAAUAGGGCUAGUUUAUUGGAUAUUAGUGUUUUUCUCUGAAAUGACCCUACAUUUCCAAAAUUGCUUAUCUGUCAAAUUCUAAUAAUAUAAAAUGAAGUAUUCUACUUUUAAAUAACUUCAAUUAGAAAAUCAAUUAAAGCAAAGCAAGAUCCAAAAACAUAAAUUGCAUAAGAUUAAAGCUGUGUGGUGUGUUUUUAGACUACAGCUAGGCUUGUCUGUCCACAAGUGUAAUAGAGUGCUGUUCAGGUUCCACAACUUUCCUAUGAAAAGCUAAAAAAAAAAAAAAAAAAAAAAAAAAAAAAGUGUGUAAUGCUUAUAUUAAAAAAACCCAAAAAACUAUUUUUCUUGUUUUAUGUGAAAUCCGACAGCAGUACAUGCAGCCACCUAAGCAACAUGCCUCUAAAAUAGCCAAUAACUCUGCUUUUUGACUGCUCACACUUGAUAUUGUUCGUGUUCAAACAAUUACUGCUUUUACUAAUAAUUCUGGCAUCCUGAAGUUUUAAAAAUCCUAUUUUUAUUUCUGAAAAACACCCAGUGAUAAAUCAUGCCCUUACUGUGGAGAAAACUUAAUGCAUUCUAUGUUCUAUAUUAUCUCUUGAUGAAACACCAUUGCUUGCCUUGGAGUUUAGUCUAUAUAAUCUUUUUCACAUAAGAUACUGCAUGGGUGAGAACCAAUAUAUAAAAAUACUUCCCACCUGUGUGUAAUUUGGCCAUUGUGUUAACAGCUGCAUGAAGUGUAGCAUGUCAUACGCGGUGGAAUAGUUUACGAAUCCACAUUGUUGGCUGAAUUUGGGAACUGAUCAGACAAAGUUUUAGAAUCAUAAGGAACUAUGAACCAGGCAAGCAUUGAUAGGCCAAAUGGCCCUGUCCUGCUAACUGUUCAUGUUUUUUUAUGACAUACUGUAGUUGAAUUAAAAGAAACAAUUACAAAAAGAACUUGACUACUUGUUUUGAUCCAGAACUUAAACAGUUUAUGGUGCAAAAAUCAUUAAUUAAAAAAAUAAUAAAAAAAAACUAUUUUCUUGCUUUCAGGCCAACGUAUACAAUAUUUCAGAAAGAAAAAAAAAAUCAUUUAUAGAUUGUUUUGCUCUGGAUUGUCACAGUAUUUAGAUCCAGAUGAUUACAAACUGAUUUACCAAAAAGCAUUUUGCCCUCAAACCAAUUGUUACUAAUCACUCUAUCCUACUAUUUAUCCACUACAAUAUAGCAUCAUACCUGAGCAACAUGUUCUGUUUGUAUGACAGGAUCCAAUGUAACACACUUGUACAUAUCAGAUGUAGUGUUUACAAAUGCAUUAUGUGGAUAUGUUGCAAUUUGUAAAAGAAGUGUGAGGCACUGUGAUCCCUGUUUUUCAAUAUGUAAUUGUAAAUCAAAUCAUUUAGUAAGCAUUAAAAAAGCUAUACUCAAA
RNA transcript from Polyodon spathula (Mississippi paddlefish), 3545 nucleotides. It is a transcript of the gene named heterogeneous nuclear ribonucleoprotein D-like, with no coding region annotated. Lineage: Eukaryota; Metazoa; Chordata; Actinopteri; Acipenseriformes; Polyodontidae. The transcript has 9 exons. The record is from RefSeq and is a predicted model, not a curated record.